UCAGACGAUGCGUCAUGCAUAUCAAUAAGCGGAGGAAAAGAAACUAACAAGGAUUCCCUUAGUAACGGCGAGUGAAGCGGGAAGAGCUCAAAUUUGAAAUCUUCAAGGUUUUACCUUGACGAAUUGUAGUUUAAAGAAGUGUUUUCUGUUAGAGAGUUGGUAAAAGUUCUUUGGAAUAGGACAUCGAUAGAGGGUGAGAAUCCCGUAUUUGACCAUUCUUUCUAGCUGUGUGAUACACUUUCAAAGAGUCGGAUUGUUUGGGAAUGCAGUCCAAAAUGGGUGGUAAAUUUCAUCUAAAGCUAAAUAUUGGCGAGAGACCGAUAGCGAACAAGUACCGUGAGGGAAAGAUGAAAAGAACUUUGAAAAGAGAGUUAAACAGUACGUGAAAUUGUCAAAAGGGAAGCGUUUGACACCAGUGUUGUUUUCUCGAAAAUCAAUUAAAAGGAGUUGGAUUUUGUGUUGUAUUGACCUUAACAGGCUUGCUUCACUCUUUUCCUGCUUUUUUUAAUGCACUUUUCGUUUAACAAGUCAACAUCAGUUUCUUUUGUUGUAAAAGGGUCAUUGGAAGGUGGCUUUCUCUUCGGAGAAAGUGUUUAUAGCCUUUGGCCUCUGCAAUCGGAGAGAUUGAGGUCUGCAGCGUAGAUCCUUCGGGGUUAGAUACAUUUGUGCUAAGUUAUAGCCUUUCAUAGACAACUUGUUGACUAUGAUUUAGUCAUUGUAGCUUACUCGCUUAUGCUAUUUUACCUACGCUUAGGAUGUUGAUAUGCAUGACUGAUAU
This 778-nucleotide ribosomal RNA is filed under the name uncultured Neocallimastigales. Its description in RNAcentral is "partial large subunit ribosomal RNA". It matches the Rfam family "Eukaryotic large subunit ribosomal RNA", at positions 18 to 634 of the family's 3401-position model. Lineage: Eukaryota; Fungi; Neocallimastigomycota; Neocallimastigomycetes; Neocallimastigales. The record is from RNAcentral.